AGCUCCAAUAGCGUAUAUUAAAGUUGUUGCGGUUAAAAAGCUCGUAGUUGGAUCUCGACUCAUGUUAGGUGGUCCACCUCACGGUGGCUACUGCUUGACUGAGUUACCUACGGAUUUGUCUCUUGAUUCUCUUAACCGAGUGUCUUGAGCGAUCCGUUCGUUUACUUUGAACAAAUUAGAGUGCUUAAAGCAGGCAUUCGCCCGAAUAAUCUUGCAUGGAAUAAUGGAAUAGGACUUCGGUUCUAUUCUGUUGGUCUCCGGAUCCGAAGUAAUGAUUAAGAGGGACAGACGGGGGCAUUAGUAUUACGGCGCUAGAGGUGAAAUUCUUGGACCGUCGUAAGACUAACAACAGCGAAAGCAUUUGCCAAGAAUGUUUUCA
This 379-nucleotide ribosomal RNA is filed under the name uncultured eukaryote. Its description in RNAcentral is "SSU rRNA". It matches the Rfam family "Eukaryotic small subunit ribosomal RNA", at positions 587 to 972 of the family's 1831-position model. The record is from RNAcentral.